Long non-coding RNA from Alexandromys fortis (reed vole), 1106 nucleotides. RefSeq lists it as uncharacterized. Lineage: Eukaryota; Metazoa; Chordata; Mammalia; Rodentia; Cricetidae. The record is from RefSeq and is a predicted model, not a curated record. The transcript has 4 exons.
AUGGCCAGAGACAGGAAGGUGCUUUGAGGCUUUGGGGCUCCCCGAACCCCACCUUACCCUCACUCUGCAUGCUCCUGCCCUUUAUCACUGCGGUUUCCUUCACAGGAAGUGUGGUUUUCCUAAGUCUUUGACCCUUGCUCAUGUAGCUCAUUGUGGAUAAUUCACCGUUUAGCUCUAUGAUCAUCAUCAGCUUCUUCUGCUCUGCCCAGGGAAAGCAUUCAGUGGCUUGGCAAUGAGGGAAGGCAUGGAAACGGUGAGAACAAGGAGGCAGUGAGGUUCGUAGUACAGUGGUUGUAUUGGGGUAUUGAUGAUGGGCAGCUCACGGCCGUCAUGCGGACCUGGAGAGAGUUCUCCCACUCACCACAUCUCAGGUAUGUGAUGUUUGCAGCUUUGGUUAGAGGAACUUCUUUUUGCACUGAGUGGCGGUUAAUGCAGAGAUUUGCAAAUAGACCAAGAACUUCGAAUAAAUGGCUUCGUGUAUUCAUCCACAGAUAUGGAUCGGUCCUCACAGUGAAAUGAAUGGCGUCUAGAAGUUCUAUUGACUGCCUGGAAAGUCUUGGUGUGGCAAAGCUGUCUGUCAUCCUGUGACAUGAGCACAUCUUUGGAGUCCAACGGAUGGAUAAGGAAGCAUCACCUUCGAGGAUUCCCAGACCCACCUUUUCAGGAACUGCUGCAAAGAUGGCACAGUGGCAGAAAGUAGAGGCGGUGGUUCACUGGAGCAUGGACAAAUUCCUAGUGACCAGUUCCACAAGAGAGGAUGAAUCUUUCUCCACCUGCAUAGGCACAAGAAGCCAAGCAGUGGCCUGAGUGGGGUGGAGCUAGCUAUCUCCCUCCAAUGCCACCACCUAAUACCACAGUGCUGUGGGCUGGUGAGGGGCAGGACCAACUCUCUCUUGUGAGGGGUGGGGUCUGCUCUUCCAUGCCUGUCAUCAUUGAUGCUCUCCCUUCAUUGGUCUGUGAUGGACAGCACCAGCUCUCCCAUACACCGCUAGUGCCACCUUAUAACUGCCACCAAGGGGCGGAGCCAGCUCUUCUGCACCCACAGACAUUAAUAUGGCUUCAGGCCACAGACCCAUCCAUGGGCAUCUGUAUGGGCUUUGGUGGUA